Molecule: transfer RNA, 69 nt
Filed under: Kottelatlimia pristes
Lineage: Eukaryota; Metazoa; Chordata; Actinopteri; Cypriniformes; Cobitidae
Description: tRNA-His
Rfam family: tRNA
About the family: Transfer RNA (tRNA) molecules are approximately 80 nucleotides in length. Their secondary structure includes four short double-helical elements and three loops (D, anti-codon, and T loops).
Source: RNAcentral
GUAAGUAUAGUUUAAACAAAAUAUUAGAUUGUGAUUCUAAAGACAGAGGUUAAACCCCUCUUACUCACC